RNAcentral lists this long non-coding RNA (604 nucleotides) under Erythranthe guttata (spotted monkey flower). RNAcentral describes it as "long non-coding RNA (EGUT_LNC001093)". Lineage: Eukaryota; Viridiplantae; Streptophyta; Magnoliopsida; Lamiales; Phrymaceae. The record is from RNAcentral.
AAAAAAAAACCAAAAAACAAAUAAUAUAUUUUUUUAAGAAUAUUCUACGCAUCAAAUACCAAUUUUUUUUAAAUUAUUUUUUUUGUUGGUAUUGAAUGACAAAACCUAGCAAAUUUCAGCGGAACGGUUUGUUGGGUGGGUUAAUGGGCCCCAACCGCGUUGCAAACGGCUUGACAACCGGGUCGUUAACGCAGAGAUGAAACGACGCCGUGUACCCGUUCUUCUCCGCGUUCACGCACUCCUCGCAAUGAGCCAUUUUUAUUUCCUCCUCGCAAUGAGCCAUUUUUAUUUCCUCCUCGCAAUGAGCCAUUUUUAUUUCCUUGUUCGUCGCCGUUGAAGGAACGUUAACGUCGUACCAACCAACAACCAUCGGAAUUGAAUCCACACACGUACCCGUACCCGGAUUCGGAUCCGAAUAGAAAUUUACCCUCGCCAUAGCCAUCUGAUAAUUCUCUCUCUGGAAAACUUUGGAUUGAUAAGCAGAAAUUGUGAUCUAUGGGUUAUCUUAUGUCGUGCGUGUAUAUAUAUAUAUAUAGAGUUUAAUAAUGUGAUAAGCAGACUAUCUCUCUAAUUCCCUUAUUUUUUGUAAUACUUAUCAUAUAAU